RNAcentral lists this ribosomal RNA (492 nucleotides) under uncultured bacterium. RNAcentral describes it as "bacterial SSU rRNA". It matches the Rfam family "Bacterial small subunit ribosomal RNA", at positions 28 to 514 of the family's 1533-position model. The record is from RNAcentral.
GAUGAACGCUAGCGGGAGGCCUAACACAUGCAAGCCGAGCGGUAUUGUUUCUUCGGAAAUGAGAGAGCGGCGUACGGGUGCGGAACACGUGUGCAACCUGCCUUUAUCUGGGGGAUAGCCUUUCGAAAGGAAGAUUAAUACUCCAUAAUAUAUUGAUUGGCAUCAAUUAAUAUUGAAAGCUCCGGCGGAUAGAGAUGGGCACGCGCAAGAUUAGCUAGUUGGUGAGGUAACGGCUCACCAAGGCGAUGAUCUUUAGGGGGCCUGAGAGGGUGAUCCCCCACACUGGUACUGAGACACGGACCAGACUCCUACGGGAGGCAGCAGUGGGGAAUUUUGGACAAUGGGCGCAAGCCUGAUCCAGCAAUGCCGCGUGCAGGAAGAAGGCCUUCGGGUUGUAAACUGCUUUUGUACGGAACGAAAAGGCUACUGGUUAAUACCUGGGGCUCAUGACGGUACCGUAAGAAUAAGCACCGGCUAACUACGUGCCAGCAG